Molecule: ribosomal RNA, 862 nt
Filed under: uncultured Methanosphaerula sp.
Lineage: Archaea; Methanobacteriati; Methanobacteriota; Methanomicrobia; Methanomicrobiales; Methanoregulaceae
Description: bacterial SSU rRNA
Rfam family: Archaeal small subunit ribosomal RNA
Source: RNAcentral
UUCUGGUUGAUCCCGCCAGAGGCCACUGCUAUCGGAGUUCGAUUAAGCCAUGCGAGUCGAGAGGUGCAAGACCUCGGCAUACUGCUCAGUAACACGUGGACAAUCUAACCUAUGGAAGGGGAUAACCCCGGGAAACUGGGGAUAAUACCCUAUAGACUAUGAAUGCUGGAAUGCUUUGUGGUCCAAAGGUCAGCCGCCAUAGGAUGGGUCUGCGGCCGAUUAGGUUGUUGUUGGGGUAACGGCCCAACAAGCCUGUAAUCGGUACGGGUUGUGGGAGCAAGAGCCCGGAGAUGGAUUCUGAGACACGAAUCCAGGCCCUACGGGGCGCAGCAGGCGCGAAAACUUUACAAUGCGGGAAACCGUGAUAGGGGAACUCCGAGUGCCCGUUAAAUCGGGCUGUCCAUCAGUUUAAAUAACUGGUGAAGAAGGGGCCGGGCAAGACCGGUGCCAGCCGCCGCGGUAAUACCGGCGGCUCGAGUGGUGGCCACUAUUACUGGGCUUAAAGCGUUCGUAGCUGGUUUGUUAAGUCUCUGGGGAAAUCUUCCGGCUUAACCGGAAGGCGUUUCAGGGAUACUGGCAGACUAGGGACCGGGAGAGGUGAGGGGUACUCCAGGGGUAGGAGUGAAAUCCUGUAAUCCUUGGGGGACCACCUGUGGCGAAGGCGCCUCACCAGAACGGCUCCGACAGUGAGGGACGAAAGCUGGGGGAGCAAACCGGAUUAGAUACCCGGGUAGUCCCAGCCGUAAACGAUGUGCGUUAGGUGUAUCGGUGACCACGAGUCACCGAGGUGCCGAAGAGAAAUCGUGAAACGUACCGCCUGGGAAGUACGGUCGCAAGGCUGAAACUGAAAGGAAUUGGCGGG